Molecule: long non-coding RNA, 2468 nt
Organism: Penaeus monodon (black tiger shrimp)
Lineage: Eukaryota; Metazoa; Arthropoda; Malacostraca; Decapoda; Penaeidae
Exons: 8
Source: RefSeq, a predicted model, not a curated record
CCUUUCGAACGAGGAGACCCUCCCGUCGCUCACUGCAUGCCAGUUACAUGUCCCGCGACUUGGCGGUUACAGCACCAAGGGAACUCGGAACCACGGGAGGUUUGCAGCCAAGUAUACGACGCUCAAGAUAGCGGGCCCACGCAGACGACCCCCUCCGGGCCUCCUGUUCGGCGGGAUACCGGACGAAAAUUCUGAUGAGUCGCUCGCAUUCGGAUACCCGCGCGGAGAGGAACACCGGAAGACAAGGAGAGCGGAGGUAGACAUCAUGCCCGGCUGGAUCGCCUUCAUCCCUAUCCUCUUGGUGUAUGGCUCUGUCGUCCUCACGUGGUUCCUCAAGAAGUUCCUCCGCGCCAAUCCCGAGGCCCAGGUACAGUCGGAGGAGCAGGUCCGCCAGCAGCAGACAGUGGACGAUGAACACAAGGAGAAGACUGAAUAACUGAAUUAAACGCUGGCCUCUCGGACGGAAAGGAUUUUGUCUCCUGAAGGCGGGGUUCCCAGUGAAGAACUACGCAGGAUUUCCCACCAGAUGAUGAACACUGUUGAUUUAUUCGGGCCCUAGCGAGUCUUAGCAACUAGCAACGCUUGAGACGACGGAAAGAAACUAACAACACCUUCAUGUCUGUGUUUGUGAAGGUUCAGGUGACACACGACUUCGGAAUGUUCUGGAAAUAGCAGUUCCUUGAGAGACACUGUAAUUUUUCAUCAGUAAUAAAGGUCACUGAAGAAAUUCGGAAUAGAGUUUGGAACUUCAGGUCGAUACUUUUCUUCACCGCCCUUUUCAACUUUUGGUGAUUAUGAAUAAGUGAUGAAAGUGUCCUAUUAAAUUCUAAGGAUUACAAAAGGAAACGUAAAAAGUUCAUUGGAGAUUAAGUGAACCUGAGCAAGACAGGAAUAAAAUUCGAGCCAUCCUGGAAACUUAUUUCUAUCCAAAGAUGUCUUCAGACGGCGAGCAGAAGCUUCUCGAUGCGUUUGAUAUAAGGGUGGAACAGCUAGACUACGGAUUUCUGAAGGAGUGCGAAGAUGGUAAGACAAUCGAGCGGAUAAUUCGAAUCUUAAGAUCCGGAGAAGAAGGCUUGUAUCCUGACCUCCUCAAGUUCGCAGAGGACAGGCUGGCUGAGGUGAAUCCCGAAAGCCGGAUGCUGUUGGAAGACAAGCCAGCAGUUCGCAUUCAGGAUCUCCCGCCAGACCUUUUGCAAAGCUUGGAGGCCGAUAUGGAAGGCUUGGUCAGCUAAGGUCAAAGCAGAGGAGGAUGACCUGACCAGCCUGGAAGUCAUCCGAGGUCCUCUGCCCCCUGUGCGCGGGUCAGCCAGAGCAGGUUCCGCGCCGCCCAGGCUCUCCUCGGAGGAAAUACAGAGACUCCUACAAGAGGCUCAGAAUUAUCUCCAAGACGACGACAUCUUCCAGGCGUCCGUGCGUUACCAGAAGGUUCUCGAAUGCGACCCUGGCCACCCCGGAGCACUCCAAGGCAUGGCGAAGGUGCACGACCACCAAGGCUUGAAUAGGAGGUUAUCAGACGGCGGCGGUUGUGGUAGCAGCAGCGGGGUCGUGCAGGAGAUCUAGAGACUACCCUGAUAUAAAGGCAUCCGCCGUGUUAUGAGCCAGAAAGAGCUGCCAAGUUCGGUGGUCAGCCGGAGAGGUUCUAAAAAUGAAAAUUGUUCUCCACUUCGUUUGCAAAUCAUCUACAUUCUUCACAUAAAGGGUCAACACUUAUGUAUUGUGCAAUACAACCCAGAUGGAGGAACUCACCUUUACGAGUGUAUAUAGUCUAAUGUACACAUACGCCACAACUUUUAUUUCAACUGUCCACCUCUGACCACUUGAGAUUCCUAAUAUGACGGCAAUUCUGUUCAAGUGUCCUCUUAAGAUCAGGCUAAGAUCAGGCUCUUCAGAGCGCCGGUGAUCCCGGUCUUACUCUACGGGGUGAGACCUGGACACUGAUCAGUGCUCGGAAGGCCCGACUUGACUCCUUUGGUACUAGUGUCUUUGCAGAAUCAUGGGGUAUACCUAGAGGGACCCUGAGGAUACUCCGUAAGACUGAUUCAAGACCAGUCUGAUACGAGAGCGCCAACUUCACCUCUAUGGGCAUGUGACUCGUUUUCCUGAGGAUGAUCCGACUUAUAGGGUGAUCUCCGAGAGGGUUGACCCAGGCUGGAGAAGACCAAGGGGAAGCCCAUGGAACUCCUGGUUGAAGCAAUUCGACCAGAUCUGCCAAGAUGUGCUGGGUGUGGGAAGGAAUGCUGCAUGAAGGCUUGUUCGGAGGGACCCUAGGAGGUGGAGCCAAAAGCUGGGCACGGCAAAGCGCAGCCACGCGUAUGCCUCCCUUAUUAUGAUGAUGUCUCUUAUCAUUGAUAGUCUCUUUAGGAUAAUGGGAGAUAAAAAAAACAUACUGUACAACUAAAUGCAUUCUAUAAACUAUUCACGAGUAUAUCGGUGUAUAAAUAAAAAAAACUGAGCACAAAUGUAUUUUU